AUUGAACGCUGGCGGCAGGCUUAACACAUGCAAGUCGACAUGAGUGGCGAACGGGUGAGUAAUACGUGGGUAACCUGCCCUCCUUUUUGGGAUAAGCCUUGGCAACGGGGUCUAAUACCGUAUAAAGGGGGAUGGGCUCGUGGCCUAUCAGCUUGUUGGUGGGGUGGUGGCCUACCAAGGCGGUGACGGGUAGCCGGCGUGAGAGGCUACACGGGCACAGUGGGACGGCGCAGCGGCCCAGGCGACUACGCGAGGGAGAAGUGGGGGCUAUUGCACAAUGGGUGAAAGCCUGAUGCAGCGAGACUGCGGGGGGGUUGAGGGCUUUAAGGUUGUAAACCUCUUUCGCUAUCGAAACGGUAGGUGGAGAAGAAGCGCCGGCUAACUACGUGCCAGCCGCCGCGGUAAUAC
This 408-nucleotide ribosomal RNA is filed under the name uncultured bacterium. Its description in RNAcentral is "partial 16S ribosomal RNA". It matches the Rfam family "Bacterial small subunit ribosomal RNA", at positions 28 to 526 of the family's 1533-position model. The record is from RNAcentral.